UACAGAGGGUGCAAGCGUUAAUCGGAAUUAUUGGGCGUAAAGCGCGUGUAGGUGGCUGCGUACGUUUGAUGUGAAAGCCCUGGGCUCAACCUGGGAAUUGCAUUGAAUACGGCGUAGCUAGAGUCGGAUAGAGGGUGGUGGAAUUUCCGGUGUAGCGGUGAAAUGCGUAGAUAUCGGAAGGAACACCAGUGGCGAAGGCGACUGCCUGGAUCCAGACUGACACUGAGGCGCGAAAGCGUGGGGAGCAAACAGG
This 253-nucleotide ribosomal RNA is filed under the name uncultured bacterium. Its description in RNAcentral is "partial 16S ribosomal RNA". It matches the Rfam family "Bacterial small subunit ribosomal RNA", at positions 524 to 776 of the family's 1533-position model. The record is from RNAcentral.